ACCUCAAACAUGUUAUUGCUUGGCUUGACUUAGUGACUUCUGAUCACAUCUCAUAUGUU
This 59-nucleotide small RNA is filed under the name Arabidopsis thaliana (thale cress). RNAcentral describes it as "ATSL266290". Lineage: Eukaryota; Viridiplantae; Streptophyta; Magnoliopsida; Brassicales; Brassicaceae. The record is from RNAcentral.